RNAcentral lists this ribosomal RNA (278 nucleotides) under uncultured bacterium. Its description in RNAcentral is "partial 16S ribosomal RNA". It matches the Rfam family "Bacterial small subunit ribosomal RNA", at positions 28 to 302 of the family's 1533-position model. The record is from RNAcentral.
GAUGAACGCUAGCGGCAGGCUUAACACAUGCAAGUCGAGGGGCAGCGCGAUGUAGCAAUACAUUGGCGGCGACCGGCGCACGGGUGCGUAACACGUAUGCAACCUUCCUGUCACUGGGGAAUAGCCCGGAGAAAUCCGGAUUAAUACCCCAUAAUACCUUGGGAGGCAUCUCCCGGGGUUGAAAACUCCGGUGGUGACGGAUGGGCAUGCGCCCGAUUAGCUAGUUGGUGAGGUAACGGCUCACCAAGGCUACGAUCGGUAGGGGGCCUGAGAGGGUU